GUAGGUGGCAAGCGUUGUCCGGAAUUAUUGGGCGUAAAGCGCGCGCAGGCGGGGUCCUUUAAAGGUCUGAUGUGAAAGCCCACGGGCUCAACCGUGGAGGGUCAUUGGAAACCGGGGGGACUUGAGUACAGAAGAGGAAAGCGGAAUUCCAAGUGUAGCGGUGAAAUGCGUAGAGAUUUGGAGGAACACCAGUGGCGAAGGCGGCUUUCUGGUCUGUAACUGACGCUGAGGCGCGAAAGCGUGGGGAGCAAACAGGAUUAGAUACCCUGGUAGUCCACGCCGUAAACGAUGAGUGCUAAGUGUUAGGGGGUUUCCGCCCCUUAGUGCUGCAGCUAACGCAUUAAGCACUCCGCCUGGGGAGUACGGCCGCAAAGGCUGA
Molecule: ribosomal RNA, 379 nt
Filed under: uncultured organism
Description: partial 16S ribosomal RNA
Rfam family: Bacterial small subunit ribosomal RNA
Source: RNAcentral